RNAcentral lists this ribosomal RNA (235 nucleotides) under uncultured bacterium. RNAcentral describes it as "partial 16S ribosomal RNA". It matches the Rfam family "Bacterial small subunit ribosomal RNA", at positions 96 to 334 of the family's 1533-position model. The record is from RNAcentral.
CGGCGGACGGGUGAGUAACGCGUAGGGAUCUGUCUCCGGGUGGGGGACAACCAUGGGAAACUAUGGCUAAUACCGCAUGACACCCGAGGGUCAAAGGCGUGGGGGCGACCCCGCGUCGCCGGGAGAGGAGCCUGCGUACGAUUAGCUUGUUGGCGGGGUAAUGGCCCACCAAGGCGACGAUCGUUAGCUGGUCUGAGAGGAUGAUCAGCCACACUGGGACUGAGACACGGCCCAG